This 537-nucleotide ribosomal RNA is filed under the name uncultured Bacteroidota bacterium. RNAcentral's name for it is "bacterial SSU rRNA". It matches the Rfam family "Bacterial small subunit ribosomal RNA", at positions 370 to 909 of the family's 1533-position model. The record is from RNAcentral. Lineage: Bacteria; Pseudomonadati; Bacteroidota.
AAUGGGCGCAAGCCUGAUCCAGCCAUGCCGCGUGCAGGAUGACGGUCCUAUGGAUUGUAAACUGCUUUUGUACAGGAAGAAACACUCCCUCGUGAGGGAGCUUGACGGUACUGUAAGAAUAAGGAUCGGCUAACUCCGUGCCAGCAGCCGCGGUAAUACGGAGGAUCCAAGCGUUAUCCGGAAUCAUUGGGUUUAAAGGGUCCGUAGGCGGUUUAAUAAGUCAGUGGUGAAAGCCCAYCGCUCAACGGUGGAACGGCCAUUGAUACUGUUAGACUUGAAUUAUUAGGAAGUAACUAGAAUAUGUAGUGUAGCGGUGAAAUGCUUAGAUAUUACAUGGAAUACCAAUUGCGAAGGCAGGUUACUACUAAUGGAUUGACGCUGAUGGACGAAAGCGUGGGUAGCGAACAGGAUUAGAUACCCUGGUAGUCCACGCCGUAAACGAUGGAUACUAGCUGUUGGGAGCAAUCUCAGUGGCUAAGCGAAAGUGAUAAGUAUCCCACCUGGGGAGUACGUUCGCAAGAAUGAAACUCAAAUGAA